This 253-nucleotide ribosomal RNA is filed under the name uncultured bacterium. RNAcentral's name for it is "partial 16S ribosomal RNA". It matches the Rfam family "Bacterial small subunit ribosomal RNA", at positions 524 to 776 of the family's 1533-position model. The record is from RNAcentral.
UACGGAGGGUGCAAGCGUUAUCCGGAAUCAUUGGGUUUAAAGGGUCCGUAGGCGGGCUAAUAAGUCAGAGGUGAAAUCCCACAGCUUAACUGUGGCACUGCCUUUGAUACUGGUUAUCUUGAGUUAUUAUGAAGUAGUUAGAAUAUGUAGUGUAGCGGUGAAAUGCAUAGAUAUUACACAGAAUACCGAUUGCGAAGGCAGUCUACUACGAAUGUACUGACGCUGAUGGACGAAAGCGUGGGUAGCGAACAGG